UCAAGUGACUAAGUGCAUGUGGCGGAUGCCUUGGCGAUCACAGGCGAAGAAAGACGCGGCAGCCUGCGAAAAGCUGCGGGGAGCUGGCAAACGAGCUUUGAUCCGCAGAUAUCUGAAUGGGGGAACCCACACCGCAAGGUGUAUCCGUGACUGAAUACAUAGGUUACGGAGGCGAACGAGGAGAACUGAAACAUCUAAGUAUCCUCAGGAAAAGAAAUCAACCGAGAUUCCGGCAGUAGCGGCGAGCGAACCCGGAGGAGCCUAGCUUUUGAUAGUACGAACUUUAGCCGAAAGGUCCUGGAAAGGCCUGCUAUAGUGGGUGAUAGCCCCGUAGGCGAAAGAGUUCGUAUGGUACUAAGGAAGCGAGAAGUAGAGCGGGACACGUGGAAUCCUGUUCGAAGAUGGGGGGACCAUCCUCCAAGGCUAAAUACUCGUGAUCGACCGAUAGUGAACCAGUACCGUGAGGGAAAGGCGAAAAGAACCCCGGGAGGGGAGUGAAAUAGAACCUGAAACCGCAUGCAUACAAACAGUAGGAGCCUCGUCAGAGGUGACUGCGUACCUUUUGCAUAAUGGGUCAGCGACUUACAUUCUGUGGCGAGCUUAACCGAAUAGGGGAGGCGCAGCGAAAGCGAGUUCGAAAUGAGCGUCCAGUCGCAGGGUGUAGACCCGAAACCAGAUGAGCUAUCCAUGGCCAGGUUGAAGGUGUGGUAACACACACUGGAGGACCGAACCGACUAGUGUUGCAAAAUUAGCGGAUGAGCUGUGGAUAGGGGUGAAAGGCCAAACAAAUCUGGAGAUAGCUGGUUCUCCCCGAAAACUAUUGAGGUAGUGCCUCGUGUGUCGCUCCAGGGGGUAGAGCACUGUUUUGGCUAGGGGGACAUGGAGUCUUACCAAACCAAGGCAAACUCCGAAUACCUGGAAGCGUAAGCACGGGAGACAGAGCACCGGGUGCUAACGUCCGGACUCAAAAGGGAAACAACCCAGACCGCCGGCUAAGGUCCCCAAUAACAGCUAAGUGGAAAACGAAGUGGAAAGGCCGUGACAACCAGGAAGUUGGCUUAGAAGCAGCCAUCCUUCAAAGAAAGCGUAAUAGCUCACUGGUCGAGUCCUUCUGCGCGGAAGAUGUAACGGGGCUAAGCUGUUAACCGAAGCCGCGGAUGCACUGAUUAUUCAGUGCGUGGUAGGGGAGCGUUCUGUAAGUCUGCGAAGGCGGUUCGAGAGGACUGCUGGAGAUAUCAGAAGUGCGAAUGCUGACAUGAGUAACGUUAAAGCAGGUGAAAAGCCUGCUCGCCGUAAGCCCAAGGAUUCCUGCUCUACGUUCAUCGGAGCAGGGUGAGUCGGCUCCUAAGGUCAGGCCGAAAGGCGUAGCCGAUGGGAAUCAGGUUAAUAUUCCUGAACCUGCGUCAGAUGCGAUGGGGGGACGGAGCAUGAAAGAUCAUCCGGGUGUUGGAUGUCCCGGUUGAUGAGCGUAGGAGGUCUGCAGGCAAAUCCGCAGACGCAUCUCCAAGGCGAAGUCACGUGCCGCCACGGCGGCGAAGUGAUCGGAAGUGCUUCCAAGAAAAGCCUCUAAGCACCAGUCUGACGCGGACCGUACCGCAAACCGACACUGGUGGGCGAGCUGAAUAUGCUCAGGCGCUUGAGAGAACUCGGGAGAAGGAACUCGGCAAAUUGACACCGUAACUUCGGAAGAAGGUGUGCCGUAGUACCGUGAGAGGAGAGACACCUUGAGCGGGAAUCGGUCUCAGAGAAUAGGUGGCUGCGACUGUUUAUUAAAAACACAGCACUCUGCAAAGUCGAAAGACGACGUAUAGGGUGUGAUGCCUGCCCGGUGCUGGAAGAUUAAUUGAUGGGGUGAGAGCCCUUGAUCGAAGUCCCAGUAAACGGCGGCCGUAACUAUAACGGUCCUAAGGUAGCGAAAUUCCUUGUCGGGUAAGUUCCGACCUGCACGAAUGGCAUAACGAUGGCCACACUGUCUCCUCCCGAGACUCAGUGAAGUUGAAAUGUUUGUGAUGAUGCAAUCUACCCGCGGCUAGACGGAAAGACCCCAUGAACCUUUACUGCAGCUUUGCAUUGAACUGUGAACCGAUUUGUGUAGGAUAGGUGGGAGGCAGAGAAGAGGCCACGCCAGUGGUCUUGGAGCCGACCUUGAAAUACCACCCUGAUUUGUUUGCGGUUCUAACCACGGACAGUGAUCCUGUCUUGGGACCGUGCAUGGUAGGCAGUUUGACUGGGGCGGUCUCCUCCUAAAGGGUAACGGAGGAGUACGAAGGUACGCUAGGUACGGUCGGAAAUCGUGCUGAUAGUGCAAUGGCAAAAGCGUGCUUGACUGCGAGAGCAACAACUCGAGCAGAUGCGAAAGCAGGUCAUAGUGAUCCGGUGGCUCUGAAUGGAAGGGCCAUCGCUCAACGGAUAAAAGGUACUCUGGGGAUAACAGGCUGAUACUGAGAUAUUAGUUGCAGACUCCAUCUUUACACAAGUAGAAUAUGAAGUGCCGUCAAUAGUAGCAGUUCCCUUAUUUGUAGCAUAGUUACCUGAAACUGUUACUAUGCUACUUGAAGGCUUAGAAUCUGUGAAUGUUACCAAAACAGUACCCUCGAUAGGAGUUACAGUACUGCCACCUUCUGUUGUACCACCGGUAGAGCCACCAGUACUACCACCUUCGCCAGUUGCAUUGCUCUCACCGAAUACCUUAACAACACCAGAAGUAUAAGCGUCAAGAAUGCUUGCCAAAGCAGGCCAUGGCUGCUGAUGACCAUUUGUUACGACAGUCUCAUCAGGAAUAACGAAAUCAAUGUC
Molecule: ribosomal RNA, 2796 nt
Filed under: human gut metagenome
Description: bacterial LSU rRNA
Rfam family: Bacterial large subunit ribosomal RNA
Source: RNAcentral